RNAcentral lists this ribosomal RNA (465 nucleotides) under Vreelandella stevensii. RNAcentral describes it as "partial 16S ribosomal RNA". It matches the Rfam family "Bacterial small subunit ribosomal RNA", at positions 338 to 795 of the family's 1533-position model. Lineage: Bacteria; Pseudomonadati; Pseudomonadota; Gammaproteobacteria; Oceanospirillales; Halomonadaceae. The record is from RNAcentral.
CCUACGGGAGGCAGCAGUGGGGAAUAUUGGACAAUGGGGGGAACCCUGAUCCAGCCAUGCCGCGUGUGUGAAGAAGGCCCUCGGGUUGUAAAGCACUUUCAGUGAGGAAGAACGCCUGGUGGUUAAUACCCAUCAGGAAAGACAUCACUCACAGAAGAAGCACCGACUAACUCCGUGCCAGCAGCCGCGGUAAUACGGAGGGUGCGAGCGUUAAUCGGAAUUACUGGGCGUAAAGCGCGCGUAGGUGGCUUGAUAAGCCGGUUGUGAAAGCCCCGGGCUCAACCUGGGAACGGCAUCCGGAACUGUCAAGCUAGAGUGCAGGAGAGGAAGGUAGAAUUCCCGGUGUAGCGGUGAAAUGCGUAGAGAUCGGGAGGAAUACCAGUGGCGAAGGCGGCCUUCUGGACUGACACUGACACUGAGGUGCGAAAGCGUGGGUAGCAAACAGGAUUAGAUACCCUGGUAGUC